AGUGAACGCUGGCGGUAGGCCUAACACAUGCAAGUCGAACGGCAGCACAGUAAGAGCUUGCUCUUACGGGUGGCGAGUGGCGGACGGGUGAGGAAUACAUCGGAAUCUACUUUUUCGUGGGGGAUGACGUAGGGAAACUUACGCUAUUACCGCAUACGACCUACGGGUGAGAGCAGGGGAUCUUCGGACCUUGCGCGAUCGAAUGAGCCGAUGUCGGAUUAGCUAGUUGGCGGGGUAAAGGCUCACCAAGGCGACGAUCCGUAGCUGGUCUGAGAGGAUGAUCAGCCACACUGGAACUGAGACACGGUCCAGACUCCUACGGGAGGCAGCAGUGGGGAAUAUUGGACAAUGGGCGCAAGCCUGAUCCAGCCAUGCCGCGUGGGUGAAGAAGGCCUUCGGGUUGUAAAGCCCUUUUGUUGGGGAAGAAAAGCAGCAGGUUAAUACCCCGCUGUUCUGACGGUACCCAAAGAAUAAGCACCGGCUAACUUCGUG
Molecule: ribosomal RNA, 492 nt
Filed under: uncultured bacterium
Lineage: Bacteria
Description: partial 16S ribosomal RNA
Rfam family: Bacterial small subunit ribosomal RNA
Source: RNAcentral